Molecule: long non-coding RNA, 212 nt
Filed under: Elaeis guineensis (African oil palm)
Lineage: Eukaryota; Viridiplantae; Streptophyta; Magnoliopsida; Arecales; Arecaceae
Description: long non-coding RNA (EGUI_LNC053766)
Source: RNAcentral
UCACUGUCCUCAUGAUGAUCUUAUGAUCGGGAGUAUUUAAGAAUUAAAUACAUAUCUCUAAUUUUCCAUACUUUGAGAAUAUAUAUCGAAACUAAUUUCAUGGAUGAUUCAAGGAUACAUCACACUUGAAUGAAAAAAAAAUACUCUUUUAUUAAUCAUAUCAAUAUAUUAAGUACAAAAUUAUAUCCUAGAUUUAUUACAAUGUGUCAGCC